AGAAUAUCGUGCAAAAGUUAAUCUAUUUAAGUAAUGCAACGUAAAAGGGGAAACUAAUAUAUGAGAUAGACGCAUUACAUGCAAAGCAAGAUAAUUCAAGCAGUGAUUUGUCAUAAGUGCGAUGAUUAUGGCUUACAGCUCAUGAAAACCCCAAAUCCACAAUCUCAGUAAAUUAGAAUAUUACAUGCAAGCAAUAAAACAAGGAGUGUACAUAGAACAAUAUCGGACCUCUGAAAAGUAUAAGCAUGCAUAUGGACUCGGUACUUGGUUUGGGCCCCUUUUGCAGCAAUUACUGCCUCAAUGCGGCGUGGCAUGGAAGCUCUCAGCCUGUGGCACUGCUGAGGUGUUAUGGAAGACCAGGAUGCUUCAAUAGAGGCCUUCAUCUCUUCUGCAUUGUUCGGUCUCAUGUCUCUCAUCUUUCUCUUCGCAAUGCCCCAUAGAUUCUCUAUUCGGUUCAGGUCAGACGAGUGUAAUGAUAUUGAUGUAUGUGUGUGAAGGUGCUGUGUGUGUGGG
Molecule: non-coding RNA, 513 nt
Organism: Pelobates cultripes (western spadefoot toad)
Lineage: Eukaryota; Metazoa; Chordata; Amphibia; Anura; Pelobatidae
Source: the annotation of a GenBank genome assembly